CCAGGGGCUGGCCAAUGACCAGGCCGCCCGGGAUGAGCUAAUAAUGGAAGCAAUUUGUAACUUUCAGUAGCUCUCUAGGCCUGGGUACCGGAGGGAGGGAGGCGGGCAGAGGAGGGGAGAUGGGCACCCCCAGUCUUUCCAUCCUCCUCAUUCGUCUAGGGGCACCCGAAUCCCCUAUUCCUUAUUUCCCCUAUCACUCAGGCACUGGCAGGGUCCUUUGCCCACUCCUGUUGGCCGCUGCGGCUCCAAAGCGAGAUGUGCCUGACACAGGUUUGACCAGGCAACUGAAAAGACAUCUCUAAGAGAAGACAAAGCAAAGGUAUGAAAGGAACACACGUCCCUGACUGACUAGGAGGAACAGAGCUGCCUGCUAUCUGGAACAACUUCCUCCCAGACUAAGGUUUCCCAGAGGAAGAGAGAGAAUUUGGACAAAUGAAUGAGGAACAAUGCUCUCCUGAGAGUUUCUUUAAGGGGCGAGGGUCACUGCCACUAGCUCCUUUGAAAGCAGAAUUAAGAGGCAGUGCAGGAAGGCACAGCAGGAAGGCUUAUGGUUAGACUACAGAGAAGGAAACAGCCACUGCUGGGGACCUACCCUGUGCUGGUCACUGACAAGCUGUCUCAUGAAACCUUCCCAGACCCUCAACCCCUCCUAGUAUCUUAUCCUCAUUUUACAGAUGAGAAGACUGUGGCCCAGAGAGCUGUGAGUCAAACAGAAUCUGCCAACCUCUGGGCGGUGGGAGCAUCUCGGAAGCAAGGCAAGG
Molecule: long non-coding RNA, 761 nt
Filed under: Homo sapiens (human)
Lineage: Eukaryota; Metazoa; Chordata; Mammalia; Primates; Hominidae
Description: HSALNT0352127
Source: RNAcentral